RNAcentral lists this small nuclear RNA (274 nucleotides) under Chinchilla lanigera (long-tailed chinchilla). Its description in RNAcentral is "7SK RNA (ENSCLAG00000021670.1)". It matches the Rfam family "7SK RNA", at positions 1 to 279 of the family's 331-position model. Rfam says of the family: 7SK was discovered as an abundant small nuclear RNA in the mid-70s but a possible function has only recently been suggested. Two independent studies have found that 7SK RNA binds the CDK9/cyclin T complex (known as elongation factor P-TEFb). Lineage: Eukaryota; Metazoa; Chordata; Mammalia; Rodentia; Chinchillidae. The record is from RNAcentral.
GGAUGUGAGGGAAUCUGGCUGUGACAUCUGUCACCCCCUUGAUCACCAGGGUUGAUUCGGCUGAUCUGGCUGGCUAAGCGGGUGUCUCCUUCCUCCCUCAAUACUCCACGUGCAUCUCUCCUGAAGCUGCACACUCGGUCGAAGAGGACGACCAUCCCCGAUAGAGGAGGACUGUUCCUUGGUCAAGGGUAUAAGAGUAGCUGCGCUCUCCUGCUAGAACCUCCAAAUACACUCUCAAGGUGCAUGUAACAUGUUGGUUGUAGUCAGUGUUCUG